UACGGAGGAUCCAAGCGUUAUCCGGAUUCAUUGGGUUUAAAGGGUGCGUAGGCGGAAUGAUAAGUCAGUGGUGAAAUCUCUCGGCUUAACCGAGAAACUGCCAUUGAUACUGUCAAUCUUGAGUACAUUUGAUGUGGGCGGAAUGUGUCAUGUAGCGGUGAAAUGCUUAGAUAUGACACAGAACACCGAUUGCGAAGGCAGCUCACAAAACUGUAACUGACGCUGAGGCACGAAAGCGUGGGUAUCAAACAGG
RNAcentral lists this ribosomal RNA (253 nucleotides) under uncultured bacterium. RNAcentral's name for it is "partial 16S ribosomal RNA". It matches the Rfam family "Bacterial small subunit ribosomal RNA", at positions 524 to 776 of the family's 1533-position model. The record is from RNAcentral.